This 253-nucleotide ribosomal RNA is filed under the name uncultured bacterium. RNAcentral's name for it is "partial 16S ribosomal RNA". It matches the Rfam family "Bacterial small subunit ribosomal RNA", at positions 524 to 776 of the family's 1533-position model. The record is from RNAcentral.
UACGGAGGGUGCGAAGCGUUGCUCGGAAUUAUUGGGCGUAAAGGGUAGGUAGGUGGUCUCAUUUGUCUGGGGUGAAAGCCUUGAGCUUAACUCAAGAAGUGCCCCAGAAACGGUGAGACUAGAGUCCUGGAGAGGGUCGUGGAAUUCCCGGUGUAGCGGUGAAAUGCGUAGAGAUCGGGAGGACACCAGAGGCGAAGGCGGCGACCUGGACAGGUACUGACACUCAACUACGAAAGCGUGGGGAGCAAACAGG